GAUGAACGCUGGCGGCGUGCCUAAUACAUGCAAGUCGAGCGAACAGACGAGGAUCUUGCUCCUCUGACGUUAGCGGCGGACGGGUGAGUAACACGUGGAUAACCUAUCUAUAAGACUGGGAUAACUUCGGGAAACCGGAGCUAAUACCGGAUAAUAUAUUGAACCGCAUGGUUCAUUAGUGAAAGACGGUUUUGCUGACCCUUAUAGAUGUUUCCGCGCCGCAUUAGCUAGUUGGUAAGGUAACGGCUUACCAAGGCAACGAUGCGUAGCCGACCUGAGAGGAUGAUCGGCCACACUGGAACUGAGACACGGUCCAGACUCCUACGGGAGGCAGCAGUAGGGAAUCUUCCGCAAUGGGCGAAAGCCUGACGGAGCAACGCCGCGUGAGUGAUGAAGGUCUUCGGAUCGUAAAACUCUGUUAUUAGGGAAGAACAAAUGUGUAAGUAAAUAUGCACGUCUUGACGGUACCUAAUCAGAAAGCCACGGCUAACUACGUG
RNAcentral lists this ribosomal RNA (497 nucleotides) under uncultured bacterium. RNAcentral describes it as "partial 16S ribosomal RNA". It matches the Rfam family "Bacterial small subunit ribosomal RNA", at positions 28 to 507 of the family's 1533-position model. The record is from RNAcentral.